GAUGAACGCUGGCGGCGUGCCUAAUACAUGCAAGUCGAGCGAACAGACGAGGAGCUUGCUCCUCUGACGUUAGCGGCGGACGGGUGAGUAACACGUGGAUAACCUACCUAUAAGACUGGGAUAACUUCGGGAAACCGGAGCUAAUACCGGAUAAAAUGUUGAACCGCAUGGUUCAACAGUGAAAGACGGUCUUGCUGUCACUUAUAGAUGGAUCCGCGCCGCAUUAGCUAGUUGGUAAGGUAACGGCUUACCAAGGCAACGAUGCGUAGCCGACCUGAGAGGGUGAUCGGCCACACUGGAACUGAGACACGGUCCAGACUCCUACGGGAGGCAGCAGUAGGGAAUCUUCCGCAAUGGGCGAAAUCCUGACGGAGCAACGCCGCGUGAGUGAAGAAGGUCUUCGGAUCGUAAAACUCUGUUAUUAGGGAAGAACAAAUGUGUAAGUAACUAUGCACGUCUUGACGGUACCUAAUCAGAAAGCCACGGCUAACUACGUG
This 497-nucleotide ribosomal RNA is filed under the name uncultured bacterium. Its description in RNAcentral is "partial 16S ribosomal RNA". It matches the Rfam family "Bacterial small subunit ribosomal RNA", at positions 28 to 507 of the family's 1533-position model. The record is from RNAcentral.